Long non-coding RNA from Colossoma macropomum (tambaqui), 295 nucleotides. RefSeq lists it as uncharacterized. The record is from RefSeq and is a predicted model, not a curated record. The transcript has 3 exons. NCBI's taxonomy places the organism in Eukaryota, Metazoa, Chordata, Actinopteri, Characiformes, Serrasalmidae.
UACUACUGCGCUGUGUAUGAGAUAAACAUCACCAAGGAUAAAAAGGGAGUUAUACACUCUGAAGAUAUUUAUCACUAUGGAAAAAGAAUCACUCGACUCUCUCUACUUGUUCCUUGUACUGAUCUCCCCCAAACCCCCUCCACUCCUCCUGUAUCAGACUGUAGUGUCUGCUGGAAGCUGCUGGUCAGUGUGUGUCCUGUGUGUGUUCUCCUCUUCUCCACCUGUGUGUACUGCACCUGCAGAUACACAACUAAAGCUCCAGGACAUGAAGAGGGAAGAGAACUACUGACUGAAA